GGAUUGUGGCUCAGUGGCAGAGUGCUUGCCCAGCACAUGGGAGGCACUGGGUUAGAUUCCCAGCACCG
Molecule: transfer RNA, 68 nt
Filed under: Marmota monax (woodchuck)
Lineage: Eukaryota; Metazoa; Chordata; Mammalia; Rodentia; Sciuridae
Description: tRNA.Ala
Source: RNAcentral